GAGGGUACAGUUCUGCGGUAGAGUGUGUGCUCAGCAAGCACCAGGUCCUGGGUUCAAUCCCCAGUACCUCCA
Transfer RNA from Camelus ferus (Wild Bactrian camel), 72 nucleotides. It matches the Rfam family "tRNA". From Rfam's summary of the family: Transfer RNA (tRNA) molecules are approximately 80 nucleotides in length. Their secondary structure includes four short double-helical elements and three loops (D, anti-codon, and T loops). Further hydrogen bonds mediate the characteristic L-shaped molecular structure. tRNAs have two regions of fundamental functional importance: the anti-codon, which is responsible for specific mRNA codon recognition, and the 3' end, to which the tRNAs corresponding amino acid is attached (by aminoacyl-tRNA synthetases). tRNAs cope with the degeneracy of the genetic code in two manners: having more than one tRNA (with a specific anti-codon) for a particular amino acid; and 'wobble' base-pairing, i.e. permitting non-standard base-pairing at the 3rd anti-codon position. The record is from Rfam. NCBI's taxonomy places the organism in Eukaryota, Metazoa, Chordata, Mammalia, Artiodactyla, Camelidae.